GGAAAUACCGGGCGGCCUGCGUCCGUCUGGUCUUGUUAGCACUGUCAUGUAUACAAUUCCUGCCAGCUUUUUGUGAAACUUGUAUCAUCAGCAAUGUCUCAGUUGACAAUUGCGAAAAUAAGUCCUGAUCAUCUAUUUUGAACCCAUUGGAAAUAUAAAUUAUAACUGAAAUCCAAUUGCAUUUGUUCUGAAGCUGUUAUUUCUCUCCAGAUAUUUUGUAUCUUCGAUAAAUAAAAUAAGUGUAAUGCUGGGACAUAGGUACUCUUUUCUUGAAAAUAAAAUUAAAAUAUUUGUAACUAGAUGGAGAAGGUAUUUAUUAGCAAAGAAAUGAUAACACUCCAUUAUACAAAUACAGUUUUUAUCACGUUGUCUUUUCGCGUCACAGGAAACGUUAUCAGGAUAUGAUGGUUUAGUUGUCAACUUGCUCAAUUUCAGACUAAACAUGCGGACUUGUUAUAACCACCCUCUAUGCUUGUCGCAGCCGACGACAAGCUACGACGUAGACUUUUCACGAAAAAGUAGAGAACACUUUUUUGCGAUUUAUCCAUCUUGUUUACAUACACUAAAUGAUCCUAUAGGAAAGACCACGCAUACUGCUUCGUAAAUGAUUGGACGAUAUUUUCAAAUCCUCACCUUUGUAUCUGCUGUGAACACAUGCAAUCAUAUAUUUAUUAAAAAAACUUUUUUUUUGCCAAAAUGAUGUGGAUGCUUGAGCAUCUGAGCAUACAUGCAAGCUACGCCACUGAUAUGCCAUAAUAAUUUGAACAAUUUCAUACUUAGGACUGCUAUAUGAAAUUGUGUUGCAAUCCUCCAAAUUUUAUUUAAUUAUUAACCGGUAAUGAACAGAGUUUUGUUAACAGAUAAUGUCUUCCGUUGUUUUUUGAAAUAGAAAUUAGUCCGAAAUAUUGGUAUGAUUAGUCCGAAUUUUCUUGAUUGCGAUUUGUUCUACGGCCGUGAGAACGGUUUUUACGAACAGUUUUAGAAACUAUAUCCAAAAUGUUAACGGAAUCGGUUCUAGAUAUAUUACCAAUUCCAUUGAUAUUAUCAUUAAGACGAGAGGGUAGACUGUUUGUAAUUUUUUAAUCCAAUUUAAUUCAAUUAUUUUCCGUGAUCGUACAAACUUUGAAUGAGAUUCACCAGGCUGCUUAUUUACUACUUCUAAAGGUUGAACUGCUAAAUAUUUAAAAGGAUGGUUGUGUUUCUUAAGGUGUUGGUAAAUGAUACUUUUGAAUUUAUUGGGUCUUUUAAAACGAUACAGAUGUUCUUGAGUGCGUUUAGGCAGCAACCAUUUGAUUUUCUGGGGGGGGCUAUGGUUUUUUUUGGAAAAAAAAGUUUGUUUCCAUUUUGGUGAAAAAAUAAUUUGUUUUGGACCCUGAGUAAAAAAAUUGUUUGUUUCACCCUCAGCUGCCACUAUAUGUAAUGCUAAAAUUGAAAGAAAAAAUUGUCUUCGGUUUGUCGCUAAAAAAUAGAUUGUUCUUCGCCGAAGGCGAAAAAAAAAAGUUUGCACAGAAAAAAAAACCAUAGCCCCCCCCAGAAAAUCAAAUGGUUGCUGCCUUAUAGAGAAUAUCAUAUGGCUUUUUCAAUAUCACAUCCGUAUCAACCCGAGACACCAAUAUAAUCCCAAGAGCUCUGCUCGAGGUUAUAUUGGUUGAGGUUGAUAUGGUGUGUGAUAUUGAAAAAGCCAUAUCAUAUACACUUUAUUAUAUACAUAUACUUGAAGUAGAUUUUUUUAUGUGACAUGACGUCAUAUAGAUAAGGAGGUUUGAAAUGACGUCAUACAGAUUAUAGGUUUGACAUGACGUCAUACAGAUAAGGGGUUUGAUAAAGCCUUUGCAACAGUGACUACAAUCGAUGACGUGACGUCAUACAGAUUAACGGUGUGAUAAAGCUUUUGCAACCGUGCUGAUAUCGAUAUCAUCACGGGUGGCUGAUACAGCACGCUUGCCAAUGAUUUAUUACACAUACAAUUUAUCUGUAUUUACUACUAAGUAUAUAAUAAAGAUAAAUAUCGUCCAGUUUCUCCUACGUACUGAAUACCAAUCCCGGUUGUUUCAUGUGAGUAAAUAAAUAAUACUGUUUGUUUUUCAAGUUAUAUCAGUUUCAAAUUCAAAGAAAAUGUGCGACCAUUAAACGUGACUUACGUAUUGUUGGUGGAAAGACAGACAUGUAAGUCAUUUUUUGGCAUGACACUUAUCGAUAGAAGGGUAACCACGAUUUCUAUUGUUAAAAAUGUUAUCGAUGGUAGUAUUUUUAGAUAACCGAUUUUGAAGAUUGAGACGUGUAGAUACCCUUUGGACAAGUUUAGUAUUUAAUAUUUUUCCAUUUCUAAGCUUCAUAAUUGUUUUUUGGUAGUGAUUAUAUAUAAAGAGCAAAGACUGGCGUCAGAAUAUGAACCAGCAUACAAUAAUUGAGUUAUGUAAAAUUGAUAAAUCUGUUCGGCUAAAAAUGUCAACGCUAUCAGUAUUAAUUACCCGAAAAGAUAGGUAUAUCAGGUAGGACUGAUGGCUGACUAAUAGUAGAAUGGGGCUGAAUAUGAAAUACUUUUUAGUAAAUAUCCUAAAGUAAUGAACUAGAGCAGUUCUCGCUCGGACACACACUCCAUAAUCUAGUAUAUUAUAAGAGCAUAAACCUGAAGCACGGGGAGGCACUCUACUGCCUAGUCCACACGCCUAAGACAAACUCUGUAAAAAAUAAAAUUGAGAAUGGAAAUGGGGAAUGUGCCAAAGAGACAACAACCCGACCAUAGAAAAAAAAAACAACAAAAAACACAACAGCAGAAGGUCACCAACAGGUCUUCAAUGUAGCGAGAAAUUCCCGCACCCGGAGGCGUCCUUGAGCUGGCCCCUAAACAAAUAUAUACUAGUUCAGUGAUAAUGAACGCCAUACUAAUUUCCAAAGUGUAUAGGGUAGAAAAAUCAAAACUUUGAAGAGAUUCAAAAUCACCAAUAUAAGCAUGCAAUUUAUCAAGUACUUCCAACGAGUUCUUGACACUCCAAAAGUAAUUAAUUCCACUAUUUUCGAAGGCCUUAAAAAACCCGUCUAAAUUGCAUUUAGUGGAUCAAUUCAACAACACUAACCGUUAUCUAGGUUUUUGUUUAUUUUCAUGAUCAUGAUUACUAACCCGGUUAAUAAUCUAAUUCGGUAGGUUACAUUUGUGAAAAGGGAAGGGGAUUAUAGUUACGACAUAAGGACAUAUCAUCUUUGAAACGGUUAUUCCAUAACGGUCAACCAACUCGUGAUGGCGUCCGUAAAAUUUACGAAGUGAUGAUUUCAACUGCACCAUUUGGAACUCUUAGGUUAAUUGCUUCCUUGUGAGCAGCAACCCUCUACCAAGGAAAUUAUGGUAGGAAAUACAAGCCCGGGAAAAUCGUAUCAAUUAGGAGAUAUGUACUCCGUAUGCAGGCGCUGCUGGAAUGUUGCUACAUAGAAAUGGAAAGUUCAAUAUUUGGAAGCUGAAAUCAUCUCUUUUAUUUCAACCUACCCUAAUUGUCCAUUUCUAGAUGUAAGUUAAUAUAUGAGGCAGACUUAACUGUAUCUGUUGUAUCCUUUAUCUUAAGUUCGAUGGGAUAGAUGCGUUCAACAUAGUCAGUGGCGUAGCCAGGGUUGAGACGAUGUGGAUGCGAAAUUGUCGGCGAGCGGAGCGAGGCGAAAAAAUUUUGGGACCAUAUUAUGCAGAAUUUUUUUUUUUUUUUUUUACAUUUUCCCAUUUAUGCAUGAGUAUUCCCCUAGAAACCGACACUAGUUAGAUUUUUGUUUAAUUUCAAAAUACCAACCAAUAUAUAUUCAUUUUCCAACAAAAUUUUAUUGUUUUCUCGAAAGUACCUUUAAUCAAUUCAAAAAUAUUUAAUGUUAAAGUUUCACACUUGACAUCACAAAAAUAUAACAAGUACAGCGGCACCUCUGUUCAUGGAACUUCGAAAUAUAGGAAUCGCAGUGAUCCUCUUUCUCGGAAUAUAAGCCUCACAAUGGUUUUUUUUAUUAAUUGUCUAAAGCGUUGCGUGGACAUGGAAAUACCGGCGCCUGCGUCCGUCUGGUCUUGUUAGCACUGUUAUGUAUACAAUUCCUGCCAGCUUUUUGUGAAACUUGUAUCAUCAGCAAUGUCUCAGUUGACAAUUGCGAAAAUAAGUCCUGAUCAUCUUUUUUGAACCCAUUGGAAAUAUAAAUUAUGACUGAAAUCCAAUUGCAUUUGUUCGAGCUGUUUUCUCUCCAGAUAUUUUGUAUCUUCGAUAAAUAAAAUAAGAGUAAUGCUGGGACAUAGGAACUCUUUUCUUAAAAAUAAAAUUAAAAUAUUUGUAACUAGAUGGAGAAGGUAUUUAUUAGCAAAGAAAUGAUAACACUCCAUUAUACAAAUACGGUUUUUAUCACGUUGUCUUUUGCAUCACAGAAAACGUGAUCAGGAUAUGAUGGUUUAGUUGUCAACUUGCUCAAUUUCAGACUAAACAUGCGGAUUUGUUAUAACCACCCUCAAUGCUUGUCGCAACCGACGACAAGCUACGACGUAGACUUUUCACGAAAAAGUAGAGAACACCUUUUUUGCGAUUUAUCCAUCUUGUUUACAUACACUAAAUGAUCCUAUAGGAAAGACCACUCAUACUGCUUCGUAAAUGAUUGGACGACAUUUUCAAAUCCUCACCUUUGUAUCUGCUGUGAACACAUGCAAUCAUAUAUUUAUUAAAAAAACUUUUUUUUGCCAAAAUGAUGUGGAUGCUUGAGCAUCUGAGCAUACAUGCAAGCUACGCC
RNAcentral lists this long non-coding RNA (4740 nucleotides) under Mytilus galloprovincialis (Mediterranean mussel). The record is from RNAcentral. Lineage: Eukaryota; Metazoa; Mollusca; Bivalvia; Mytilida; Mytilidae.